This 569-nucleotide long non-coding RNA is filed under the name Rattus norvegicus (Norway rat). RNAcentral's name for it is "long non-coding RNA NONRATT021320". Lineage: Eukaryota; Metazoa; Chordata; Mammalia; Rodentia; Muridae. The record is from RNAcentral.
ACGCUAACGAGGAGUUUGGUAGGAAGACCCUGGUGCUGGGCUCAGGGUAGCCCCAGCUCUGGCACAAAACACCCUGUGACUGUAAUGCCACUCAGAUGGCUGUAAUGCCACUCAGAUGGCUGUAAUGCCACUCAGAUGGCUUAAUGCCACUCGGGCACCCAGGGCCCUUCAGCUUCACCUCUGCUGGUUUUUUGCUUCCCUCUGAAAUGGGGUUUGGACUCCGAAUCCCUGGGGAUGAGUUUGCUUUAAGAAGCAGCCUGUGUCCCCAAUGCCUGCUUUGUCUUCCUGUCUUGAUUCUCACUCACACUCUCUUGCUUUCACUCGCCAUCUGCAUAACUCGGUGUUUGCCUGGUGGUGGCCGCAACCUCUACGGUCUCUAUAGGCAGUAAGGUUUGUGAUUCGGGCUUUUUACAUGUUGCCAUCACAGAGUCCUCAGGUUCUAAGUAAGCUGUAAACAGAACUAGCCCAGGACUCUGAAACAGGACCCUUUCUGAUAUUACACUAAGGACGUUUAACCUUUUAAUGUGAAAAUCAUCUUUUACUUUGGAUCUAACGGACAGGAGAGAAGC